CCUACGGGAGGCAGCAGUAGGGAAUAUUGCUCAAUGGGGGAAACCCUGAAGCAGCAACGCCGCGUGGAGGAUGAAGGUUUUCGGAUUGUAAACUCCUUUUGUUAGAGAAGAUAAUGACGGUAUCUAACGAAUAAGCACCGGCUAACUCCGUGCCAGCAGCCGCGGUAAUACGGAGGGUGCAAGCGUUACUCGGAAUCACUGGGCGUAAAGAGCGCGUAGGCGGGAUAGCAAGUCAGAUGUGAAAUGCUAUGGCUUAACCAUAGAACUGCAUUUGAAACUGUUAUUCUAGAGUAUGGGAGAGGUAGGUGGAAUUCUUGGUGUAGGAGUAAAAUCCGUAGAGAUCGAGAGGAAUACUCAUUGCGAAGGCGACCUGCUAGAACAUAACUGACGCUGAUGCGCGAAGGCGUGGGGAGCGAACGGGAUUAGAUACCCCAGUAGUC
This 440-nucleotide ribosomal RNA is filed under the name uncultured bacterium. RNAcentral describes it as "partial 16S ribosomal RNA". It matches the Rfam family "Bacterial small subunit ribosomal RNA", at positions 338 to 795 of the family's 1533-position model. The record is from RNAcentral.